This 449-nucleotide ribosomal RNA is filed under the name uncultured prokaryote. RNAcentral's name for it is "bacterial SSU rRNA". It matches the Rfam family "Bacterial small subunit ribosomal RNA", at positions 355 to 796 of the family's 1533-position model. The record is from RNAcentral.
UGAGGAAUAUUGGGCAAUGGGCGAAAGCCUGACCCAGCCACGCCGCGUGUGUGAUGAAGGCCUUCGGGUCGUAAAGCACUGUGGGGAGGGACGAACAUGCGCAUGAGGAAAUGCUUGCGCACUGACGGUACCUCCUUAGCAAGCACCGGCUAACUCUGUGCCAGCAGCCGCGGUAAUACAGAGGGUGCGAACGUUGCUCGGAUUUACUGGGCGUAAAGCGCGUGUAGGCGGACUCGCAAGUCGGUUGUGAAAUCCCUGGGCUCAACCUAGGAACUGCAUCCGAAACUGCUUGUCUUGAGUAAUGGAGAGGGUGGCGGAAUUCCCGGUGUAGAGGUGAAAUUCGUAGAUAUCGGGAGGAACAUCAGUGGCGAAGGCGGCCACCUGGACAUUCACUGACGCUGAGACGCGAAAGCGUGGGGAGCAAACAGGAUUAGAUACCCCCGUAGUCC